UAAUACCCUAUAGAUUACAGAUGCUGGAAUGCUCUGUAGUCCAAAGUUCCGGCGCCUCAGGAUGGAUCUGCGGCCGAUUAGGUUGUUGUUGGGGUAAUGGCCCAACAAGCCAGUGAUCGGUACGGGUUGUGGGAGCAAGAGCCCGGAGUUGGAUUCUGAGACACGAAUCCAGGCCCUACGGGGCGCAGCAGGCGCGAAAACUUUACAAUGCGGGCAACCGUGAUAAGGGAACCUCGAGUGCCUGUAUAUGCAGGCUGUCCAGGUGUCUAAAACACACCUGAAGAAAGGGCCGGGCAAGACCGGUGCCAGCCGCCGCGGUAAUACCGGCGGCUCGAGUGGUGGCCACUUUUAUUGGGCUUAAAGCGUUCGUAGCUGGGUUGUUAAGUCUCUUGGGAAAUCCGGCAGCUUAACUGUCGGGCGUCUAAGGGAUACUGGUAAUCUUGGAACCGGGAGAGGUGAGGGGUACUUCGGGGGUAGGAGUGAAAUCCUGUAAUCCUCGAGGGACCACCUGUGGCGAAGGCGCCUCACCAGAACGGCUUCGACAGUGAGGGACGAAAGCUGGGGGAGCAAACCGGAUUAGAUACCCGGGUAGUCCCAGCCGUAAACUAUGCGCGUUAGGUGU
RNAcentral lists this ribosomal RNA (622 nucleotides) under uncultured archaeon. Its description in RNAcentral is "bacterial SSU rRNA". It matches the Rfam family "Archaeal small subunit ribosomal RNA", at positions 147 to 774 of the family's 1478-position model. The record is from RNAcentral.